GCGGUCAUGAUGGAAUUGGCAGACAUGCAGGAUUUAGGUUCCUGUGCCGCGAGGCGUGUGGGUUCAAGUCCCACUGACCGCA
This 82-nucleotide transfer RNA is filed under the name Lachnospiraceae bacterium XBB2008. It matches the Rfam family "tRNA". From Rfam's summary of the family: Transfer RNA (tRNA) molecules are approximately 80 nucleotides in length. Their secondary structure includes four short double-helical elements and three loops (D, anti-codon, and T loops). The record is from Rfam by way of RNAcentral. RNAcentral also lists the same sequence under 1 other name. Lineage: Bacteria; Bacillati; Bacillota; Clostridia; Lachnospirales; Lachnospiraceae.